GAUAACCUGCCCAAGGGUCCGGGAUAACCCCGGGAAACUGGGGAUAAUACCGGAUGGAUCACUUCUGCUGGAAUGCUUGGUGGUCGAAAGGUAACGCCCUUGGAUGGGUCUGCGGCGGAUUAGGUUGACGCCGGUGUAACGUACCGGCGUGCCUGUAAUCCGUACGGGUUGUGGGAGCAAGAGCCCGGAGAUGGAUUCUGAGACACGAAUCCAGGCCCUACGGGGCGCAGCAGGCGCGAAAACUCUACAAUGCAGGCAACUGCGAUAGGGGAACAUCGAGUGGCUGUCAUAUUGAUAGUCUGUCCACCCGCCUAAAAAGCGGGUGUUAGCAAGGGCCGGGCAAGACCGGUGCCAGCCGCCGCGGUAAUACCGGCGGCUCGAGUGGUGGCCGAUAUUAUUGAGUCUAAAGGGUCCGUAGCCGGCUUUGCAAGUCUCUCGGGAAAUCCAGCGGCUUAACCGUUGGUCGUCCGGGGGGUACUACAUUGCUUGGGACUGGGAGAGGUAGGAGGUACUCAGGGGGUAGGAGUGAAAUCCUGUAAUCCUUUGGGGACCACCGGUGGCGAAGGCGUCCUACCAGAACAGGUCCGACGGUGAGGGACGAAAGCUAGGGGCACGAACCGGAUUAGAUACCCGGGUAGUCCUAGCCGUAAACGAUGCUCGCUAGGUGUCACAACAGUCGUGAACUGUUGUGGUGCCGUAGGGAAGCCGUGAAGCGAGCCACUUGGGAAGUACGACCGCAAGGUUGAAACUUAAGAU
This 756-nucleotide ribosomal RNA is filed under the name uncultured Methanocellales archaeon. Its description in RNAcentral is "bacterial SSU rRNA". It matches the Rfam family "Archaeal small subunit ribosomal RNA", at positions 103 to 862 of the family's 1478-position model. The record is from RNAcentral. Lineage: Archaea; Methanobacteriati; Methanobacteriota; Methanomicrobia; Methanocellales.